AAGGCAUGGACACACCACCCAUGGGUGCUGCAAGGCAUGGACCCACCACCUAUGGGUGCUGCGAGGCAUGGAUCCACCAGCUAUGGGUGCUGCAUGGGAGAGACCCACCUCCUAUGGGUGCUCCAUGGGAGGGACCCGCCACCCAUGGGUGCUGUGAGGCAUGGACCCACCAGCUAUGGGUGUUGCAAGGCAUGGACCCACUCAUAUGGGUGCUCCAUGGGAUGGAGCCACCACCUAUGGGUGCUGCGAGGCAUGCACCCACCACCCAUGGGUGCUGCAAGCCAUCAACCUGCCACCCAUGGGUGUCUUAUGGGAUAGAUCCACUACCUGUGGGUGCUACAAGGCAUGGACCCACCAGCUAUGGGUGCUGCAAGUCAUGGAUGGACCAUCUAUGGGUGCUGCGAGGCAUGGACAGACCACCCAUGGGUGCUGCAAGCCAUCAACCUGCCACCCAUGGGUGUCUUAUGGGAUGGACCCACCGCCUAUGGGUGCUGCAUGGGGUGGAUCCACCAGCUAUGGGUGCUGCAAGUCAUGGACUGACCACCUCUGGGUGCUGCAUGGGGUGGAUCGACCACCUAUGGGUGCUGCAAGGCAUCAACCUGCCACCCACGGGUGCCUCAUGGGAUGGACCCACCACCCAUGGGUGCUGCAAGCCAUGAACCCACCACCUAUGGGUGCUGCAACACAUGGACCCACCACCCCUGGGUGCCUCAUGGGAUGGACUGACCACCCAUGGGUGCUGCAAGUCAUGGACCCAUCACCUAUGGGUGCUGCAAGCCAUGGACUGACCAUCUAGGGGUGCUGCAAGCCAUGGACCCACCACCCAUGGGUGCUGCAACCCAUGAACCCACUACCCACAAGUGCCUCAAGCCAUGGACUGACCACCCAUGGGUGCUGCAUGGGAUGGACCUGCCACCCAUGGGUGCUGCAAUGCAUGGACCCACCACCCCUGGGUGCCUCAUGGGAUGGACCAACCACCUAUGGGUGCUGCAAGGCAUGGACCGACCAUCUAGGGGUGCUACAACCCAUGGACCCGCCACCCACAAGUGCCUCAAGCCAUGGACUGACCAUCUAGGGGUGCUGCAUGGGAUGGACCCACCACCCAUGGGUGCUGCAAGCCAUGAACCCCCCACCCACGGGUGCUCCAUCACAUGGAUCCUUCCCAUGUGGGUGCUACGCCCAACGGACACCCAACCCAUGGACCCAUCAUCACCUGUGGGUGCUGCAUGG
RNAcentral lists this long non-coding RNA (1230 nucleotides) under Apteryx rowi (Okarito brown kiwi). Its description in RNAcentral is "lncRNA (ENSARWG00000002889.1)". The record is from RNAcentral. Lineage: Eukaryota; Metazoa; Chordata; Aves; Apterygiformes; Apterygidae.